UCUUUCUCCAUUCCUCCCAAAUCAUUUCAACUCAAGAUAUUCUGAAAAUCACACCAGAAUUUGGUAUCAUACAAAUUAAGCACCGUAAUCCCUUGCAUCAUUCCACAUUGUAAAAUUUUUUAUAUUAUUUGUUUCAUUGAUUAGGGAUUUAUCACAUCUAUAAAACCCUAAUUGGUGAUGAAGAUACAAAAAUCUGAUUUUUCUGAGGUAAUACGAAGUGGGUUCUAAGUUUCCGGCAGGUUAUUGCAUCACACAGAAGCAGUUCAAAUUUGUUUUCAAACAACAAUGAGGAAAUGGGCCAAAACUCAAUUUAGACUGCUCAUAAAUCUAUUCACUCUUCUCUGGGUUCUGUAGAGUACAACAAAUACUGAAGCUACUCCUUGUUCAUGGGUUCCGUCAAGACCUAGCGAGUUUGAACGUCAUCUAAGUCUUUGGAGAUCAUUGAGCCAAAAGAAGAAAAAUUUGGGACUCCUCAUCACCGCAUUACCAGGUGGUCCCAGUCUAUUAGUAUUCUAUCGGAUUCAAAAGGAAAAGGGUAUUCGUCCGUCAUAUGUAAGAGCCGUGCAAUUCAACGCUGAAUCUUCAGGGAAGACGAACCUAAAGAGGUCUAUGGAAGCUUCGAUAACUAAUCCCAACAACAAAAAAGAAAAAGGCGGUGCUCAAAUACGAGCCACAGGCAAGUCACAUUAUCGUUAGUAAUAUUAACUACUAAUUUUCGUCACUACAGUGAUAUUUGUUCACACAAUCCCAUCAUAUUGUUUCACAUUUUGUUGUGAAUGUAAGAAACAUCUUACAUUCUGAGGCAGUUAUAACUCAAGUCUUUGGUUGAAUAGGAGAUUACAUGCACUGCAAUACCUGGUAGUCUAAUAUCGAUCAUGUCAUCAUUCCAAUCAUGAUGGAGAAGAAAGCUCUUUGGAUACUUGGUCACUACGAUGUGAAGGACAGAUGCUUUGUACGUUCAUAACUCAAGUCGGCCGGCUUUGAGAGAUAGAAUCGUGUGCUGCGAUGUAGAAGCUUUCAUUUAUGUUCUCCCCUGUCUUGUGGUGAAGAUAAAUGCAUGGCAACCCAAGACCAUCAAUGGCAUUAAAUGGCAAACCACUUGAUCUGAAAAUCGUGACUAACAUACCACAAGAUGAUCACGGACAUGAUUGUUGGCCAUAUGUCAUCAAGUUCAUCGAGUUCAUUAUAAACCAAAAAUUGAUGAAAUGUCGACGACUAUGAUCCAGAAGUAUCCAGAUGUAACUUGGUCUGUCAACUAUUCAAGCAUGGCCGCUAGAAGAUGAUUGAAGCAUAUAAUACAGAUUUUGACCUCAUACUUCCACGUGUUAGGUGCAGCAGGACGAUGAAGGGUGUUGUUAUUGUUUGAAUCUUACCUGGAAAGUUUGUUUGAUGUUUAUUUUAGUGUGGCACAGUUCGAGUAGAAGUUUUUGUAUCAUAUCUCUUUGUGUGAGAGAAUUUCAGUAUUUCGUCAUAUAAUUUUGGAAUGUUUCCUAGACUUGCAACAUCAUUUUUCGAAAUUUCAGUGAAAAUUA
Molecule: long non-coding RNA, 1532 nt
Organism: Olea europaea var. sylvestris
Lineage: Eukaryota; Viridiplantae; Streptophyta; Magnoliopsida; Lamiales; Oleaceae
Exons: 2
Source: RefSeq, a predicted model, not a curated record